Long non-coding RNA from Diceros bicornis minor, 169 nucleotides. RefSeq lists it as uncharacterized. The transcript has 3 exons. Lineage: Eukaryota; Metazoa; Chordata; Mammalia; Perissodactyla; Rhinocerotidae. The record is from RefSeq and is a predicted model, not a curated record.
CCCUGUCUUGGUGAUGAGCCUCUGCCACAGAAAAACUAACAAGAAGUUUUGGGGACAGGAGGACAGCAGAGAGCAAACUAAGAAAUCAAAAGUGGUGUCUAGGGACAGCAUUAUUCUCAAGACUCCACUGGACACCUGACCCUGUGACAGGAGAUAUGCCAUGGAGCUC